This 859-nucleotide ribosomal RNA is filed under the name Niphargus angelieri. RNAcentral describes it as "partial 28S ribosomal RNA". The stretch from base 404 to 859 matches the Rfam family "Eukaryotic large subunit ribosomal RNA", at positions 1 to 910 of the family's 3401-position model. Lineage: Eukaryota; Metazoa; Arthropoda; Malacostraca; Amphipoda; Niphargidae. The record is from RNAcentral.
UACGUGGUGUCUGACAGACCAAAGCGAUGGUUAGCCAGGAGCAGCAUUGAGUUUAAAUAGCAUCCCUCGUGCGGGGAGGCGGUACCGGGGUUCGAGGCCAAGGCCGAAGGACUUCCGGGCCGUCAUAUCCUUAAGAAUGAGCUUUCAUAGCUACUGGUCUAAUGCGGUGAUUGCCCACCACAGCACGUUGUGAGGUCACCCACAGGCUCAAACUGCCGAUCGCGGGUCCCAGGACGAUGGCAACGAUGCGUAGCUCUGCUCGGGGGGUCAAAUCCCCGGGCAUCACGCGUGUCUAGUCGUGGGCCGGGCGGCGACCGAGAUAAACCUGGUACGAUCCUCUUGCGACGAGCUGCUUUCUGGCCAGAUAGAAGGACCCAGGCGCUUCCCACUUGUCGGGAGGCGUCGACUCCAGGUGAGUUUGGCCCAGCUGCAUUCUGCAAGGUCUCUCGCCGGGCCUUCGGUCUGAGUGGUGUAAAGUCCAGCACCGUCGGUCACGUCUCGAAACACGGGCCAAGGAGCAUAGCAUGUGUGCAAGUCUAAGGGUCCCUCAAAACCCGACGGCGAAAGUGAAAGCAAGACUGUGGCGGGGGAGUCACGCGGCGAACCCGCCGGCCUAGUGGCGCGCUUGCGCGCUGCCUGGCUUUCAGCAGAGCUGAUCCUGUAAUCUCGGUUAAAUCUUGGUGCAGGCGCAAGCUCCGGGCUCACGUACAACACUGGUCGCUUGCGGCUGUGUUGUGAGCACCGUGUAGCAUGCAUGCUAUAACCCGAAAGAUAGUGAACUAUGCCUGGCGAGGGCGAAGCCCCAGGAAACUGGGGUGGAGGCCCGUAGCCGUUGUGACGUGCAAAUCCAUGGUAUCAG